UAUGAAGUUGGAAUCGCUAGUAAUCGCGGAUCAGCAUGCCGCGGUGAAUACGUUCCCGGGCCUUGUACACACCGCCCGUCACACCAUGAGAGUCGGGAACACCCGAAGUCCGUAGUCUAACUUUCACGAGAGGACGCGGCCGAAGGUGGGUUCGAUAAUUGGGGUGAAGUCGUAACAAGGUAUC
RNAcentral lists this ribosomal RNA (184 nucleotides) under uncultured bacterium. Its description in RNAcentral is "partial 16S ribosomal RNA". It matches the Rfam family "Bacterial small subunit ribosomal RNA", at positions 1319 to 1500 of the family's 1533-position model. The record is from RNAcentral.